Peromyscus californicus insignis is the source of this 319-nucleotide long non-coding RNA. RefSeq lists it as uncharacterized. The transcript is spliced from 3 exons. The record is from RefSeq and is a predicted model, not a curated record. NCBI's taxonomy places the organism in Eukaryota, Metazoa, Chordata, Mammalia, Rodentia, Cricetidae.
AAAAAACAAAAACAAAAAACGCAAGACAUUAGAUCAUGAUACAGGAAAAGCGGAAACAUUGGAGUACUCUGAAAAAAUGCUAGGGGACGUGUAGACCUCAGAUUCUCUGGAAGAAGAUGUUAAAAUGGAACAGGAAGGUGACAAAAUACAUGUGUGAAGUACUCUCAAGGGACAAUGGGAGGCAUCUGGAGAAAAAGGAAAUCAGCUCUGAGAACUAACAGGAAAAAGGAAGAAGAACAGUAUAUGGCUGGCAUAUUUUGGCUGAAAAAGAUGAUUGUUUGGAAAAAAAAAGUAUGUAUAUAUUAAAUAUCCAUUCUUG